CAGCAGAGGUAGCUGCGGCAGCUGAGCUGGGCACAGGGAGCCUCGCUCGGUCCUGCGGGUCCCAGCAGCAGCUUCCCACAGCAGCAGCCAGCUGUGCUCUAGGACAGGAAGCGCUCUCCAUUACAGACCCAGAAUUUAGCAGUUGCUGCAGCAAGGAGAGCUUGGAGGGCUCAGGACAAUAACACAGUGAAACUUAUGCAUACACAGUUAGAAGCUGGGAAGACAGAGUCCCACUGCUGCCAUGCUCUUAUGGUUUAGGUUAACAGGAUUGGUAUUCUUGUGAUUAUCCCUUGCAGGGCCAGGAACUGGACUUCAACGAUCCUCGUGGGACCCUUCCAGCUCAGGAUAUUCUGUGAUUUCAAUGUUCCUAAUGAGUAUUAACCCACUGUGAUUCAUUUCCGCUGAGACAGCUGCAACCCUUUAGCAAAUUUGGGAGGGAGGGGAAAAAGGGGAAGGUACUUUGCAUCUCAAUCAAGUGCCUUCUCCAUGCAAGGACAGCACAUCAUGCAGGAAAAUCUGCUUCCUCAAUCCCCAAACAUCAUUUCUUUGAGUUUUGUGUGGAUUAUCUGAUGGUGCGAGUUUUUGAAGCUUUACUGAAAAUAAAGGCCUCUUCAUCUGAAGAUGCAUAAUACUUGUCUUCACAGAUGCCUCAGCGUGGUGGGCAGUGCUGUGGAUCUGAAGAAAUGUGAGGACUCAUCUGGGAGCAGAAGCCAAAAUUUGCCCCAGGUAGCCAGGACAUGAGAGUGUGCUUCCAGUCUGGCCUGGUGGGAUCCCGAAUUCCCUUGUGUUUGGCAGCUUCAGUAGCAAGAUUGGAGAGGCCUCGCUCUCAGGUGAACCUUUAGCAAGGUGCCCCUAAGAGGCUGCUUUGGAUUACCUCAGGCUCAGUGUAGGGAACUGAGCCUGGGUCUUCUCCUUCCUGGGUGUGCAUUCUCAUCCCCAGGCUAUUAAAUAGAAGGGAUAGGUGAGAAGGUUGCUGGCUUCCUUUGGCUCUAUUUGAAAAGGAAGUAUCUGCCAUCAGUGCACUUCAUGGGGCGCCUAAUCUUGUUGUGUGUUCUGAAAACACCCUUCAGACAGAGCCCCUUAGGGGACAUGAGGUUCUGGAGCCUGCUCAGGCUGCAGUGCUGAGCUGUUUGGCCCUGCUGAGACUGAGGCAGUUCUGGGCAUGCAUAGAGGUGAGACAUCACCUAUCUGGAACGUCUGGAAAUCAAAAAAAGUAAGGUGCCUCUGUGUGUGAAAUUUCAGAAUCACAAUUUUUGUCACUAUUGGGUUUAGCUUGAUAAUAUAGUUCAAUAUUUUAAUUUUGAGUAAACCUUGACCUAAUAAAGUCAAUCUCCAUCUCUGUGAGAAGCA
RNAcentral lists this long non-coding RNA (1350 nucleotides) under Cyanistes caeruleus (blue tit). RNAcentral describes it as "lncRNA (ENSCCEG00000009910.1)". Lineage: Eukaryota; Metazoa; Chordata; Aves; Passeriformes; Paridae. The record is from RNAcentral.